RNAcentral lists this ribosomal RNA (1376 nucleotides) under Philautus aurifasciatus (Java bubble-nest frog). RNAcentral's name for it is "partial 16S ribosomal RNA". It matches the Rfam family "Bacterial large subunit ribosomal RNA", at positions 370 to 2575 of the family's 2925-position model. Lineage: Eukaryota; Metazoa; Chordata; Amphibia; Anura; Rhacophoridae. The record is from RNAcentral.
GAGCCUAAAACCAAGCCCCAUAAAUAUCCUCAUAUUCCACUACUUUAUUUAUUACAAAAUAAAUCAUUUUAACUACAUAGUAGAGGCGAUCAAAAUAAUAUUAAGCGCUAAAACAAAGUACCGUAAGGGAAAGGUGAAAUAAAUGAAAAAUUUAAAGCUAAAAAUAGCAGAGAUUUAAACCCGUACCUUUUGCAUCAUGGUCUAGCUAGUCUAAUCAAGCAAAAUGAAAUUUUAGUUUGCCUUCCCGAAACUAAGCGAGCUACUUCAAAACAGCCUUAGAGCUAACCCGUCUCUGUAGCAAUAGAGUGGGAAGAUUUUCAAGUAGAAGUGAUAAGCCUAUCGAGCCUAGAGAUAGCUGGUUAUUCAAUAAAAGAAUUUUAGUUCUGCCUUAAAUUUAUUAAUGAUAUAAACAACCAUAAAAAUUUAAGAGUUACUCAAAUAAGGCACAGCUUAUUUGAAGAAGGAUACAACCUCAACUACCGGGUAAACCAAAAAUCUUUAUUAAGUGGGCCUAAAAGCAGCCACCUUUAAAAAAGCGUUACAGCUUAAUCUCUAUUACAAUAAAUUCAUCUAUUAACCAUUAACCCGCCCCCAUUACUGAAUGACUCUAUAAUAUAUAGAAAACACAAUGCUAGAACUAGUAACAAGAAUAUAAUAUUCUCCUCAAUACAAAUUCAAACCGAAACGGAUCCCCCACCGGUAAAUAACGAAAAUGAGUCCACUACAGCAACUUACUAGAAAACCCUGCACACACUAUUCGUUAACCUGACACUAGAGUAUUCCCGGAAAGAUUAAAAGGGAAAGAAGGAACUCGGCAAAUCUUAACCCCGCCUGUUUAACAAAAACAUCGCCUCUUGAUUAUUAAUAAGAGGUCCAGCCUGCCCAGUGAUAAUAUUCAACGGCCACGGUACCCUAACCAUGCGAAGGUAGCAUAAUCACUUGUUCUUUAAAUAAGGACUCGUAUCAACGGCACCACGAGGGUUAUACUGUCUCCUCUCCCCAAUCAGUGAAACUGAUCUCCCUGUGAAAAAGCAGGGAUAACAUUAUAAGACGAGAAGACCCCAUGGAGCUUUAAACCCCAAGCAACUUUACUACAUAUUUCAUUUUAUUUACUAAAUUAUUGCCUACCGGUUUUAGGUUGGGGCGACCGCGGAGUAAAAAACAACCUCCAUAACGAAAAAACCUUAAUUUUUAUCUAAGAUCUACUACUCAAAGAAUUAGAAAACUAACGUACUAUGACCCGACAACGAUCAACGAACCAAGUUACCCUGGGGAUAACAGCGCAAUCUACUUCAAGAGCUCAUAUCAACAAGUAGGUUUACGACCUCGAUGUUGGAUCAGGGUAUCCCAGUGGUGCAGCCGCUACUAACGGUUCG